CAUGCAGUCGAACGGUGAAGCCCAGCUUGCUGGGUGGAUCAGUGGCGAACGGGUGAGUAACACGUGAGCAACCUGCCCCUGACUCUGGGAUAAGCGCUGGAAACGGCGUCUAAUACUGGAUACGAGUAGCGACCGCAUGGUCAGUUACUGGAAAGAUUUAUUGGUUGGGGAUGGGCUCGCGGCCUAUCAGCUUGUUGGUGAGGUAAUGGCUCACCAAGGCGUCGACGGGUAGCCGGCCUGAGAGGGUGACCGGCCACACUGGGACUGAGACACGGCCCAGACUCCUACGGGAGGCAGCAGUGGGGAAUAUUGCACAAUGGGCGCAAGCCUGAUGCAGCAACGCCGCGUGAGGGAUGACGGCCUUNCGGGKUGUAAACCUCUUUUNAGCAGGGAAGAAGCGAAANGUGACGGUACCUGCAGAAAAANGCGCCGGCUAACUACGUGCCAGCAGCCGCGGUAAUACGUAGGGCGCAAGCGUUAUCCGGAAUUAUUGGGCGUAAAGAGCUCGUAGGCGGUUUGUCGCGUCUGCUGUGAAAUCCGGAGGCUCAACCUCCGGCCUGCAGUGGGUACGGGCAGACUAGAGUGCGGUAGGGGAGAUUGGAAUUCCUGGUGUAGCGGUGGAAUGCGCAGAUAUCAGGAGGAACACCGAUGGCGAAGGCAGAUCUCUGGGCCGUAACUGACGCUGAGGAGCGAAAGGGUGGGGAGCAAACAGGCUUAGAUACCCUGGUAGUCCACCCCGUAAACGUUGGGAACUAGUUGUGGGGUCCAUUCCACGGAUUCCGUGACGCAGCUAACGCAUUAAGUUCCCCGCCUGGGGAGUACGGCCGCAAGGCUAAAACUCAAAGGAAUUGACGGGGACCCGCACAAGCGGCGGAGCAUGCGGAUUAAUUCGAUGCAACGCGAARAACCUUACCAAGGCUUGACAUAUACGAGAACGGGCCAGAAAUGGUCAACUCUUUGGACACUCGUAAACAGGUGGUGCAUGGUUGUCGUCAGCUCGUGUCGUGAGAUGUUGGGUUAAGUCCCGCAACGAGCGCAACCCUCGUUCUAUGUUGCCAGCACGUAAUGGUGGGAACUCAUGGGAUACUGCCGGGGUCAACUCGGAGGAAGGUGGGGAUGACGUCAAAUCAUCAUGCCCCUUAUGUCUUGGGCUUCACGCAUGCUACAAUGGCCGGUACAAAGGGCUGCAAUACCGCGAGGUGGAGCGAAUCCCAAAAAGCCGGUCCCAGUUCGGAUUGAGGUCUGCAACUCGACCUCAUGAAGUCGGAGUCGCUAGUAAUCGCAGAUCAGCAA
RNAcentral lists this ribosomal RNA (1293 nucleotides) under Microbacterium sp. Its description in RNAcentral is "bacterial SSU rRNA". It matches the Rfam family "Bacterial small subunit ribosomal RNA", at positions 54 to 1355 of the family's 1533-position model. The record is from RNAcentral. Lineage: Bacteria; Bacillati; Actinomycetota; Actinomycetes; Micrococcales; Microbacteriaceae.